This 511-nucleotide unclassified non-coding RNA is filed under the name Hevea brasiliensis (rubber tree). The record is from RNAcentral. Lineage: Eukaryota; Viridiplantae; Streptophyta; Magnoliopsida; Malpighiales; Euphorbiaceae.
GCCAACAACUGCCAUUUAAAAACGCCCUCUCAGCUGAACGGCGAGUUGUGAAAGUCAAGCGGGCUGAGCAAUUUUUUGUCGCCUCUGACCCACCAGCAUCAAUAUCUUCUAGUUCAACAGCAGCAAGAUCGCCAUAUGAUGAGAAGAAUUCCUUCAAGGCAUCAACAUUUGCCAAACCAGGUGGUAACGGAGGAACUAUUUUAAAAGCUGUGGGCCGAUUAUCCAACUUAUAUCUGUUCAUCACAAAGACUGCCCCUGCAGGUGCCACUGGAUAAAUUGGCUGCUUUGAGCCUGUAGGUUCAUGCUGCAAAAAUGACAUGCUUGUUUUGGGACUGGAUGAUAUGAGGUUUUCCACUGAUUUAUUCUUAUCCACCAUCAUCUCAGUAUGUGGAGAUGACACACCAGCAAUAGGGUCAAAGGACCUUGGAGUAGUAGCUUUUGCAACAUCAGUUGCUAUUCCUACUCUCUGUCUCUUAGAAGCAGGCUCAGCCACUACCUCACCUUUAACUCC